This 20-nucleotide unclassified non-coding RNA is filed under the name Dictyostelium discoideum. Lineage: Eukaryota; Evosea; Eumycetozoa; Dictyosteliales; Dictyosteliaceae. The record is from RNAcentral.
AGUGCCACUAUUUAUACGUU